UCAGACAUGUGUGUGCUUGGGCUGGUUGCUUCCUGUCAACUUAACACAAGAGAACUGCUUGGGAAGAGGAAAGGUCAAUGGAGGCAUUGCCUUCAACGGACAGUCUCGUGGGCAUGCCAGAGGGGGCAUUUUCUUAAUUGCUAAUUAAUGCAGAAGAAGCUAGCCCAUUGUAUGUGGUGCCAAUCCUAGGCAGUUGGGCCUGAGCUGUAUAAGUAACUAGGAAAGCUAAAGAGAGCUAGUAACCAGCAUUCUUCCAUGCUUCCCUGCCUCUUUACCUGCUUGAUUGAGUUCCUGACCUGGCUUCCCUCAGUGACCUACUGUGAUGGAGACAUGUACACCAUAUAAAUCCAUUCUUGCCAGUGUUGCUUUUGGACUCAAAGCCUUAGCUCAGAACCAAACAUGUCACAUGUGUAGGCUUCAAGGGCAGAGUGUUUCUAAAGGACCUGCAAAGCUGGCGAGGAAAACAGGUGUGGGUCAUUUGUGCUGUUCCCAGAGCUCAACCAAGGCCAAGCCUGGCAGAGGAGGGUGACAUAGACUGCUCACGUGUGACACAUACUUUCAAAUAGCUUCCUCCAUAAAUCCAGGCCCCAAAGGAGCCUCCCCAACUUCCCUUCCUUCUCCAUGUGGGGCAAGCAUCUGGUGAGAAGCUUCACCCUGACCCCCAGGUACCCUUCCUUCAGAGGUAUUCAUGAGUUCUUGGAACUUGAGCUAGGACUGGAAGUUCACUGCAAACCUGGGUCCUAAGCUAUAACUCAGGACAUUACUAGAAGGCUUGAGAAGCAAGACAGCCAGUUUGUGUUCUGUAUCAAGCUCUGGAGAAGGUUAGUUAGAGAAGUGAAGUUUGGAAGACUCACACCUAUGAUGUGUUUCAGAAGAUAAAAUCAUUAGUUUUAUACAGGAUAUGACAAUGUGCGGCUUACUGUGUAGAGGCCUGAGUAGCCAACUCAAGUAUACCAGCAUUUGACUUCUUGACGCAAUGCUGGUCCUGGCAUCUUGACCCCGAGGAACGCCGCUGGUGGCUGUUACUCAGAAGCCUAUGGGAACUGUGGGUGUGGGAUGGUACAGAAUGUCCCAGCCUGGCUGAACCUACUCCAGGUCACUCUGAGAUUGAAUUACCCAUACUCUGGGUCCCCACCAACUACACUAAGUUUGAUAAGGUAAUAGUUCUCACCUUCCAUGGGUUAGGAUUAUGCUCAGUUCUUGCUGUCUAAAACAUUCCACCAUGAAGGGUAUUUUCAUUGUGUAAUGUCCUACAGACUUGUGAAAAAUUAUUAGUGGUGAAAUUUUUCCUGGGAUAGUCCAUUUCCAACCCUGCGCCCGCCCCCCACAAGAGCAGAAUCUUAGCACUCUUUAAAGAUCAGGGUCUCCUUGAUGUGCUUCAUUUUUUCCUUUCCGAUCCUGGUGUUUUCAUAUCUAUGCUUCUCUUCCCAUGAACACAGGGCUGCCUCUGAGUGACAUCUGGAAUCGCUGUCUGCUUUGGGAAACUCUAAGUUAUAUAGUACUGUGGGCGGCAAAAGGAAGAGAGCUAAUUAUUACUUGUUGGAGUCUUGUCUCAGGUGUGUUGAGGAAUGUGCAAGGCUCACUGCUCUCUGCUGUUGUCAGUUUGAUGCUAUGCUCACAGACAACCACUAGAUCAGCAUGGCUGCAGAAAUAUUUGAGCACAAAAGACAUUUUUCAAACACUACUGUGGGGUGUGGAGGGCACCUGGCUGACUAAAGGGCUAUGGGGCAGGGCUGUCUACAUACGUGAUCACUGUCAAGUUUGCCAGACGUGGCAGAUAACUCCCUCCAUAGACACCCAGGACAUUCCUUUGAAAGUCAGGUAUCUAAGAAGAUGCCCUUGUCUACU
This 1848-nucleotide long non-coding RNA is filed under the name Cricetulus griseus (Chinese hamster). RNAcentral describes it as "lncRNA (ENSCGRG00015034358.1)". Lineage: Eukaryota; Metazoa; Chordata; Mammalia; Rodentia; Cricetidae. The record is from RNAcentral.